UGUCUUGUAUCUUCUGGCCUGGCUAGUC
This 28-nucleotide non-coding RNA is filed under the name Rattus norvegicus (Norway rat). The record is from RNAcentral. Lineage: Eukaryota; Metazoa; Chordata; Mammalia; Rodentia; Muridae.